RNAcentral lists this long non-coding RNA (708 nucleotides) under Zea mays. RNAcentral's name for it is "long non-coding RNA (ZMAY_LNC001979)". Lineage: Eukaryota; Viridiplantae; Streptophyta; Magnoliopsida; Poales; Poaceae. The record is from RNAcentral.
UAUCGACGUUUCACUACGGCACGGGUGGAUACCAUAAAGACAUUGUUGUUGUUGCUAUGGUGUUAAUUAGCAACGAAUAUGAUAAGCAUAGUCAAACAUGUCGUACACGGGGAUGUGCGACUACUUCCACUACGUCGACUACUUUCACUGCACGAGGAUGUACGACUACUUCCACUAUGACAGAGCAUCAUAUCAUGUCCUCCGCUCCCCUCCUCGCUUGAUUCUGGUGAGAAUUCUAGGCUACUAGUCUUUAAUUCACCUUUAUGUCUUCCCUUAGCAGUUGGUCGGAUUCUCCCCUCUUUUAAGUUGCUCCACUACUCCCUUUUAUAGACCAAUGGAGGAGAGAGAGGGUUACAUGUCUACUGGGCGAUGGGCCUCACCUAGCAGGGUCUCAACAAUUCCUAUCUUAUCGUGGUCGUGGAGUCAUACGCGGUGGCAUGCAUUGGUUGUGCCAUAAUAUUGAGAAUAUCCUAUUGUAGUGGCAGGUAUGGCUUAUCGUAGACGCAUGUAUGCCCAGUUGUAACGAUGGGUACUAGAGUCCAUGUCAUCGUGUAUGUUGUAGUUGAUAACCGAUAUAGCAAUCUGUACUUUAUAAUACUUCUUGGUACUCUAGCAUAUUCAAACAUGUCUAUAGGGAUGAUGGGAUGUAUCGAAUAGUGACCUUGAGUAUGCAUGCUACAUAUGUUAUGGCAAUAGUGUUUCUUUGUG